Molecule: long non-coding RNA, 783 nt
Organism: Daphnia pulicaria
Lineage: Eukaryota; Metazoa; Arthropoda; Branchiopoda; Diplostraca; Daphniidae
Exons: 3
Source: RefSeq, a predicted model, not a curated record
UCGCAAUAGCCAUAAUGGAUACAGCUUAUUAAUAUUACAUCUUAGAGUUGGUUUCGACGCAUGUGGUGCGUGUGCUAAAGUUAAGGUUUCAAUAGACUUUACCAGAAAUUAUACCAACGCUAAGAAACCACUCACACCAAUUCAAGAGUGUUUGUCUGGUGACAUCGUUUAGGGUUUCUCCAGCUCGAGCUGUCUUCUGAAUCUGAAGCAUCAUUUUGUGUGCAGCGUCAUGCUUUGCUUUCAUUAAUAAUUUGAUUUGAACACUCUGUUUGGUAUGGUCUGUGUAGUGUGUGUUUUUACAUUUCAGUAUAUAACGUGAGUAAGAGUUGAGUAUGACUGUAAACACAUUGCUGGGUAUUAUUUCAGGCAUUGCCAUGACAAAAAUGGAAGCAAAGCAUGACGCUGCCUACAAAGUGAUGUUUCAGAAAAGGAAGACAGCUCGAACUGGAGAAAGCCUAAACAAUGUCACCAGACAAACUGGCCAAACUGUCUACCAUCCUGUUAAAACCAACCCAAAAAACUAGCCUUCAAUGUCUCAGAACCUUUAACAACACUUACAUUAACGUGUGGGACACCAUUGAGGCUGGAUGGGAAACAACCUUGUUAGGUGACAGCAUUCUGUCCAAGUUGCUGAAAGCUAAUGUCAUAAUCUUUGGACAAUUCGAUGCUGCACGUAUCCUGCAAUUUGUGCCUACACAAGUUUCCAGUUUUAUUUUGUGAAAUUUUCUAUGGUGUUGUGUGCACAUGGGAAGUCCUAAUACAAAGUUUUAUUGGACACAUUAA